Molecule: non-coding RNA, 72 nt
Organism: Parelaphostrongylus tenuis
Lineage: Eukaryota; Metazoa; Nematoda; Chromadorea; Rhabditida; Metastrongylidae
Source: the annotation of a GenBank genome assembly
ACCUUAAGUAGUGUAGUAGUAGCACACUUCCCCGGCAUGGAUAAAAAGCGGGUUCGACUCCCGUCUGAGGCC